AUCACUUGAGAUCGUCCAUCAGAAGUGUUAACAUAGAUCUCUAUGCCGAUGAGGAUUUGGGCAACACACCUAUGAACGAAGAAGUGAAGGAGGAGAUUGUAGUUUACCUAUUCCAGUGAAGGGCAAGAUAGAGACUUUAAAUCAAGCAUUAGAGGAUUAAAAACAUGGCAAGCUAAGCAUGAUUUACAACAUUAUCGGUCAAAUCCGAAAUGGAAACCUAUAAAGUGUCCUCGUCAAUUGGAUUCGGUUGGGUGUGGGUAUUAUGUCCAAAAGUAUAUACAUGAAAUCGUGCAUAAUUCUAUUUAAUACAAAAAAGUGCAUAUACGCAAGAGGAGAUUGACGAGAUUUGAACAAAAUAUGCAAGCUUUGUUAGCCGAUUUGUGUAAGCUUUUACACUUUUUUUUUGUAGUUUAUAAGUUACUAGUACUAAUACUAAUUGUUUUAAUAUAUAAGCUACGAGAUUCUAGUACUACUUGUUGUACAUACUUUAAUUUUCAGGUUUUCUGCUUGUAGUAGU
Long non-coding RNA from Cucumis sativus (cucumber), 517 nucleotides. RefSeq lists it as uncharacterized. The record is from RefSeq and is a predicted model, not a curated record. Lineage: Eukaryota; Viridiplantae; Streptophyta; Magnoliopsida; Cucurbitales; Cucurbitaceae. The transcript is spliced from 5 exons.